Molecule: ribosomal RNA, 519 nt
Filed under: Kogia breviceps (pygmy sperm whale)
Lineage: Eukaryota; Metazoa; Chordata; Mammalia; Artiodactyla; Physeteridae
Description: large subunit ribosomal RNA
Rfam family: Bacterial large subunit ribosomal RNA
Source: RNAcentral
AACCAGUAUUAGAGGCACUGCCUGCCCAGUGACUAAUCGUUAAACGGCCGCGGUAUCCUGACCGUGCAAAGGUAGCAUAAUCACUUGUUCUCUAAAUAAGGACUUGUAUGAAUGGCCACACGAGGGUUUUACUGUCUCUUACUUUUAAUCAGUGAAAUUGACCUCCCCGUGCAGAGGCGGGGAUAACAAAACAAGACGAGAAGACCCUAUGGAGCUUCAAUUAAUCAACCCAAAAAGCCACAAUCUAAACCACCAAGGGAUAAAAAAGCUUCAUAUGGGCUGACAAUUUCGGUUGGGGCGACCUCGGAGUAUAAAAACCCCUCCGAGUGAUUAAAGCCUAGGCCUACUAGCCAAAGCAUAAUAUCACUUAUUGAUCCAAAAUAUUGAUCAACGGAACAAGUUACCCUAGGGAUAACAGCGCAAUCCUAUUCUAGAGUCCAUAUCGACAAUAGGGUUUACGACCUCGAUGUUGGAUCAGGACAUCCUAAUGGUGCAGCCGCUAUUAAGGGUUCGUUUGUU